AUAGUUUCGUUGACGAGAAGAGUAGGCUUUUAUUCCGGGCUGAAGAGAGUCGCUGGCUGGUGGGAAGCGAUGGCGGAUAAGGGUUGAAGAUCAUCUCUGAGAAGUUCUGCUGAAAUGAUCCAGAGUAAGCAGGACCGGUUAGCGGCCGUUAUCCGUUAUGUGAACCGAGAGCCGUGUAUAAGAAAAAGUGCACGGAAUAUGGGUGGUACCGCGGAAUAAUAUCCGUCCCUGUU
RNAcentral lists this non-coding RNA (233 nucleotides) under Halobacillus karajensis. RNAcentral's name for it is "T-box sequence". It matches the Rfam family "T-box leader". From Rfam's summary of the family: Uncharged tRNA acts as the effector for transcription antitermination of genes in the T-box leader family. T-boxes are found upstream of many aminoacyl-tRNA synthetase genes and some amino acid biosynthetic genes usually in Gram-positive bacteria. The anticodon of a specific tRNA base pairs to a specifier sequence within the T-box motif, and the NCCA acceptor tail of the tRNA base pairs to a conserved bulge in the T-box antiterminator hairpin. Lineage: Bacteria; Bacillati; Bacillota; Bacilli; Caryophanales; Bacillaceae. The record is from RNAcentral.